Long non-coding RNA from Rosa rugosa (rugosa rose), 1235 nucleotides. RefSeq lists it as uncharacterized. NCBI's taxonomy places the organism in Eukaryota, Viridiplantae, Streptophyta, Magnoliopsida, Rosales, Rosaceae. The transcript is spliced from 6 exons. The record is from RefSeq and is a predicted model, not a curated record.
UUGUGCAAUUCAUAUUACCAUUCCUUCUUGCUGUAUUCGUUAAUUUGGUUUCCCAUGUGCACACUACAAUAAAAGGUUUUCAAAAGGACAUAUACUGGGUUUGAAUUUUAUGCAUAGGUAUUGACUGUGUUGUGAGUUCAGGUUGAGAAUGUGAACCUACUACCUAUGCAAUAAUAUGUACAGCUUGGUAAAAUCCGUGAAAAGAUUUGGCAUAAAAAAACAAAGAUAAAAGUAGGGUUCGUGUAUACUAGAAAUCUAAUACUUUAAGCUGUAAAUGCGCGGGCUUUACUUAAAAAAAUGGGGGGACUAUUAAAAGUUGUUGGUUGAUUAGAGAUUCCCUUUCAGAGACUCUUCUGUUCUUUGUGUUGGAUUUUUGAAUGGGAAAGUUGUUCUUAUUUCAUUAACUUUACUCUGUUUUCAGGUUGCUUUGAUGGGCAAGGCAGAGUCACUCCAAAUGCAUCUUAAUUGAAUUACUGAAACUGCAAAUACUUACUCCAAAGGGUUGGAGCUAUGUUUUGACAGGGGCAAUGACAGCUUUGCUUCGAAAUCUUGAUCAUCGCAUCUCAAGCUAUUCAUCUGUUAUACGAAAGUCUGAGAUCGAAGAUGCAGAGGAAUGCUUGAAACUGUUUUCUAUGGACGAGGUGGCUAAAUUUAAUUAAAUGACCCUUCCUAAUGUCAACGACUUCAAAAACCACUCAAAAAGCCAGCCACGUAAUGAAAUCCACAAAGAACAUAUAGUGGUGCAGACAUUCCUCCUGAGAUCGGAAAGAUGUGCAGCUUGGAAGAAAUUAGUAAUCAAGACAAGGAGCAUUGAGUUCAUGCCAUUCUAUCUUUCUCUUCCAACCUUCUUGAUGAGUCUCUCUUUCUCUGCAUACGGACUUUUCAGAGAAGAUCCAUUCAUAUUUGUUUGCCGAAUCUGUGAAUGUCAAGCAGCUUGAGAGCAUAUUGUCAUCCAUUUCAACUUCCAUUAUCAGAUACCCUAUCCGCGGCAAAGCCAAACCACGUUCUCUCUCACUUUCUAAAUCCAAAGUCCAAACAAACAUAACAUUGACAUGGAUAAAGCAUACAGUGGCUACCGUUUGUAGUAAUGGUCAUAAACUUUAUGUAUAACACAUUUCCAGUUGUCUUUGUUGUUCUUUUGCAUAUUGUAUUGGUUAUGGAUUUCAGUGGUAUAAUGAAGUAUUACCACUGUUGCUUUCUUCCAUUGUUUUGGUAAUGGAUAUGUGAUUUUUACA